GAUGAACGCUGGCGGCGUGCCUAAUACAUGCCAGUCGAGCGAACGGACGAGAAGCUUGCUUCUCUGAUGUUAGCGGCGGACGGGUGAGUAACACGUGGAUAACCUACCUAUAAGACUGGGAUAACUUCGGGAAACCGGAGCUAAUACCGGAUAAUAUUUUGAACCGCAUGGUUCAAAAGUGAAAGACGGACUUGCUGUCACUUAUAGAUGGAUCCGCGCUGCAUUAGCUAGUUGGUAAGGUAACGGCUUACCAAGGCAACGAUGCAUAGCCGACCUGAGAGGGUGAUCGGCCACACUGGAACUGAGACACGGUCCAGACUCCUACGGGAGGCAGCAGUAGGGAAUCUUCCGCAAUGGGCGAAAGCCUGACGGAGCAACGCCGCGUGAGUGAUGAAGGUCUUCGGAUCGUAAAACUCUGUUAUUAGGGAAGAACAUAUGUGUAAGUAACUGUGCACAUCUUGACGGUACCUAAUCAGAAAGCCACGGCUAACUACGUG
RNAcentral lists this ribosomal RNA (497 nucleotides) under uncultured bacterium. RNAcentral describes it as "partial 16S ribosomal RNA". It matches the Rfam family "Bacterial small subunit ribosomal RNA", at positions 28 to 507 of the family's 1533-position model. The record is from RNAcentral.